RNAcentral lists this ribosomal RNA (76 nucleotides) under Fatoua villosa. Its description in RNAcentral is "partial 28S ribosomal RNA". The stretch from base 19 to 76 matches the Rfam family "Eukaryotic large subunit ribosomal RNA", at positions 1 to 58 of the family's 3401-position model. Lineage: Eukaryota; Viridiplantae; Streptophyta; Magnoliopsida; Rosales; Moraceae. The record is from RNAcentral.
UUUUUGGUGCCUCCAACGCGACCCCAGGUCAGGCGGGGCUACCCGCUGAGUUUAAGCAUAUCAAUAAGCGGAGGAA